UACGUAGGGACCGAGCGUUGUCCGGAAUCAUUGGGCGUAAAGAGCGCGUAGGCGGCCCUGUAAGUCCGCUGUGAAAGUCAAGGGCUCAACCCUUGAAUGCCGGUGGAUACUGCAGGGCUAGAGUCCGGAAGAGGCGAGUGGAAUCCUGGUGUAGCGGUGAAAUGCGCAGAUAUCAGGAGGAACACCGAUGGCGAAGGCAGCUCGCUGGGACGGUACUGACGCUGAGGCGCGAAAGCGUGGGGAGCAAACAGG
This 252-nucleotide ribosomal RNA is filed under the name uncultured bacterium. RNAcentral's name for it is "partial 16S ribosomal RNA". It matches the Rfam family "Bacterial small subunit ribosomal RNA", at positions 524 to 776 of the family's 1533-position model. The record is from RNAcentral.